UCGUAGAGUUUGACCCUGGCUCAGCCACUCCUGUGGGGAUUCCAGGCGAACGAGGUGAGUAACACGUGGGCAAUCUGCCCUGCACUCUGGGACAAGCCCUGGAAACGGGGUCUAAUACCGGAUACUGACCCGGCUGGGCAUCCAGGGGGUUCAAAAGCUCCGGCGGGGCAGGAUGAGCCCGCGGCCUAUCACCUUGUUGGUGAGGUAACGGCUCACCAAGGCAACAACGGGUAGCCGGCCUGAAAGGGCAACCGGCCACCCUGGGACUGAAACACGGCCCAAACUCCUACGGGAGGCACCAUGGGGAAAUAUUGCACAAGGGGCAAAAGCCUGAUGCACCGCCCCCCCGGGAGGAAUGACGGCCUUCGGGUUGUAAACCUCUUUCACCAGGAAAAAACCGAAAGUGACGGUCCCUGCAAAAAAACCGCCGGCUAACUACUUGCCACCAGCCGCGGGAAUACGUAGGGCGCGAGCGUUGUCCGGAAUUAUUGGGCGUAAAGAGCUCGUAGGCGGCUUGUCGCGUCGGUGGUGAAAGCCCGGGGCUUAACCCCGGGUCUGCAUUCAAUACGGGCAGGUUAGAUUUCGGUAGGGAAGAUCGAAAUUCCUGGUGUAGCGGUGAAAUGCGCAGAUAUCAGGAGGACCACCGGUGGCGAAGGCGGAUCUCUGGGCCGAUACUGACGCUGAGGAGCGAAAGCGUGGGGAGCGAACAGGAUAGAUACCCUGGUAGUCCACGCCGUAAACGGUGGGCAUUAGUGUGGCGACAUUCCACGUCGUCGUGCGGCAGCUACCCAUUAAGUGCCGCUGGGAGUACGGCAGCAAACUUAAAAUUCAAAGGAAUUGACGGGGGCCCGCCCAAGCGGCGGACCAUGUGGCUUAUUUGGACGCAACCGGAAGACCCUUCCCAAGGCUUGACAUCCCCGGGAAACGUCUGGAGACAGGCGCCCCCUUGUGGUCGGUGUCCAGGUGGUCCAUGGUGGUCUUCAGCUCGUGUCGUGAGAUGUUGGGUUAAGUCCCGCAACGAGCGCAACCCUUGUCCCGUGUUGCCAGCAGGCCCUUGUGGUGAUGGGGACUCACGGGAGACCGCCGGGGUCAACUCGGAGGAAGGUGGGGACGACGUCAAGUCAUCAUGCCCCUUAUGUCUUGGGCUGCACACGUGCUACAAUGGCCGGUACAAUGAGCUGCGAUACCGCGAGGUGGAGCGAAUCUCAAAAAGCCGGUCUCAGUUCGGAUUGGGGUCUGCAACUCGACCCCAUGAAGUCGGAGUCGCUAGUAAUCGCAGAUCAGCAUUGCUGCGGUGAAUACGUUCCCGGGCCUUGUACACACCGCCCGUCACGUCACGAAAGUCGGUUACAGCGGAAGACCGGGGGCCC
This 1370-nucleotide ribosomal RNA is filed under the name Actinomycetes bacterium. RNAcentral's name for it is "bacterial SSU rRNA". It matches the Rfam family "Bacterial small subunit ribosomal RNA". The record is from RNAcentral. Lineage: Bacteria; Bacillati; Actinomycetota; Actinomycetes.